UACGAAGGGUGCUAGCGUUGUUCGGAAUCACUGGGCGUAAAGCGCGCGUAGGCGGCGACUCAAGUCAGAGGUGAAAGCCCGUGGCUCAACCACGGAAUUGCCCUUGAAACUGUGUUGCUAGAGUGUCGGAGGGGAUAGCGGAAUUGCUAAUGUAGAGGUGAAAUUCGUAGAUAUUAGCAGGAACACCGGUGGCGAAGGCGGCUAUCUGGACGACAACUGACGCUGAGGCGCGAAAGCGCGGGGAUCAAACAGG
This 253-nucleotide ribosomal RNA is filed under the name uncultured bacterium. RNAcentral's name for it is "partial 16S ribosomal RNA". It matches the Rfam family "Bacterial small subunit ribosomal RNA", at positions 524 to 776 of the family's 1533-position model. The record is from RNAcentral.